CAGUCGCCGCGGGAAUACGUAGGGUGCAAGCGUUAAUCGGAAUUACUGGGCGUAAAGCGUGCGCAGGCGGUUUGUUAAGACAGAUGUGAAAUCCCCGGGCUCAACCUGGGAACUGCAUUUGUGACUGGCAAGCUAGAGUCUGGCAGAGGGGGGUGGAAUUCCGCGUGUAGCAGUGAAAUGCGUAGAUAUGCGGAGGAACACCUAUGGCGAAGGCAGCCCCCUGGGCCAACACUGACGCUCAUGCACGAAAGCGUGGGGAGCAAACAGGAUUAGAUACCCGAGUAGUCCCUGUCUCUUAUAC
RNAcentral lists this ribosomal RNA (301 nucleotides) under uncultured bacterium. Its description in RNAcentral is "partial 16S ribosomal RNA". It matches the Rfam family "Bacterial small subunit ribosomal RNA", at positions 509 to 807 of the family's 1533-position model. The record is from RNAcentral.